Molecule: non-coding RNA, 839 nt
Organism: Carassius carassius (crucian carp)
Lineage: Eukaryota; Metazoa; Chordata; Actinopteri; Cypriniformes; Cyprinidae
Source: the annotation of a RefSeq genome assembly
UUCUUCACACAAUGAAUCAAUUAAUAAUUCACUCAAAUGAACUAUGUCAGCUUACCGAGCAAAAACAAAGUAGCUACUGACAAUAUUUAGUCUAAAAAGUAAAAAUACUCAGUUAAAACUUUUUGUUAACUAAACCAUUGUAUAAAAUCACAUUCAUGCUGUUGAUCUAAUAUUCAGAAGAAACAGCACUCUUGCAUGUGCGAUGUAGCUUUAUAUCAAUAAAGGAUAAUAUUAACAAGUGAAUUCAUUAAAUAUUUUAUUAAGUUUCAGUGAAACAGCAAAAUAAACCAACUUAAACUUGUUGAUAUUCUCCUGUAUUUGCAUAGAGAGUGUGUUUUACAUGAGCGACACACACUUCAGUGCUCUGUGUGUGUUUAUAACUCUGACAAACAUCAAACAUGAUCAACAACUGUUUCUCACUAGAACUGAACCUACAACCAACAGAAAUGACUUUCAUCACCAUAUUGAUCUGGACUCUGACUGUAUUAUGUAGAGAAUCUAUUGGGCAGGUGACAGUGACUCAAACUCCCUCAGUGCUGCUCGCUCAAACUGGACAAUCAGUCACUGUGACCUGUAAAUCCAGCAGUGAUCCUACCUGCUGUUGUAGUGGAAAACAGUGUCUCAGCUGGUACUUACAGAAACCUGGAGAAGCUCCUAAACUCCUGAUUUAUGGAACAAGCAGCCGUCAGUCAGGAACUCCAUCUAGAUUCAGUGGCAGUGGAUCUAACAGUGAUUUCACUCUGACCAUCAGUGGAGUCCAGACUGAAGAUGCUGGACAUUAUUACUGUCAGAGUUACCACAGUAGUAAUGUGUUCACACAGUGAUUGUGAGUUGUACAA